This 253-nucleotide ribosomal RNA is filed under the name uncultured bacterium. RNAcentral's name for it is "partial 16S ribosomal RNA". It matches the Rfam family "Bacterial small subunit ribosomal RNA", at positions 524 to 776 of the family's 1533-position model. The record is from RNAcentral.
UACGUAGGCAGCGAGCGUUGUUCGGAGUUACUGGGCGUAAAGCGUGCGUAGGCGGUUUUCCAAGUCUGGUGUGAAAUCUCCCGGCUCAACCGGGAGGGUGCGCUAGAAACUGGGAGGCUGGAGUGCGGGAGAGGUAGGCGGAAUUCCUGGUGUAGCGGUGAAAUGCGUAGAUAUCAGGAGGAACACCGGUGGUGUAGACGGCCUGCUGGACCGUGACUGACGCUGAGGCACGAAAGCGUGGGGAGCAAACAGG